Molecule: transfer RNA, 65 nt
Filed under: Staphylinoidea sp. 2 KM-2017
Lineage: Eukaryota; Metazoa; Arthropoda; Insecta; Coleoptera
Description: tRNA-Phe
Source: RNAcentral
AUUUAAAUAGCUUAUAGAGAGCAUGAUAGUGAAGUUAUCAAGGAGAAUAAAUUAUUCUUUAAAUA